Molecule: ribosomal RNA, 344 nt
Filed under: uncultured bacterium
Lineage: Bacteria
Description: bacterial SSU rRNA
Rfam family: Bacterial small subunit ribosomal RNA
Source: RNAcentral
AUCGCAUGUUCCUGCAAGUAAAUGGACGGACCCUCCGGGGCCGUCUGCUGACAGAGGUGGUUGCGGCCCAUCAGCUAGUUGGUAGGGUAAUGGCCUACCAAGGCUACGACGGGUAGCCGGCCUAAGAGGGUGGUCGGCCGCACUGGGACUGAGACACUGCCCAGACUCCUACGGGAGGCUGCAGUCGAGAAUCUUCCGCAAUGGGCGAAAGCCUGACGGAGCGACGCCGCGUGGAGGACGAAGGCCUUCGGGUUGUAAACUCCUGUCACGAGUUAAGAAGGCUCGAGGACGAACAGUCUUCGGGUUUGACGUAAGCUCGAGAGGAAGCACUGGCUAACUCUGUG